This is a long non-coding RNA of Peromyscus californicus insignis, 536 nucleotides long. RefSeq lists it as uncharacterized. Lineage: Eukaryota; Metazoa; Chordata; Mammalia; Rodentia; Cricetidae. The transcript has 4 exons. The record is from RefSeq and is a predicted model, not a curated record.
AUGGCUCUAUCCUAGAUAUGCACAUUCAUCUACCCCCGACAUCUGUGCAGAGCGUGGAACAGCGUAUCUCGGUUUGUAAUUGCUUGCUACCCUGAGAUGACAAAAUGAACUCCUGAUAUUUGGGAAAAAUCAGACUUUGCUUCCUAGGCAAAGUGAUGAUGCUCACCUUCUUGGUGUCCUCUCACUUGGUCUGGGCCUGGGUUUCAGUAGAACCUUCAUCAAAGGCCUGGGAACUUCAUUCAUUGCCUCAUGUGAAGUUAGCAGUGGCUGCCAUGUUACACCCCGUGGUAUAACUCCAUUUCUUCCCUCAGCAAAUUCCCUGGUCCUACAAAUCCCCUUCCUUCAACAGGGGCUCCACCAGGCUACUGGGAUAGUCGGUGUGUGUCAUGCGUUAUUGUAAGACUUGAGGAUGGAAAUCCAGGGCUUUACAAGCCGUCCAGACAGAAUCCUAGCCGUGCAUUUUUAAUGAGCUCCAGAUGAUGUCUGUGCUGUUGGUUUAAGAUGGCGCCUGUCUACAAUGGCUUCAACGUCAACCA